Hippopotamus amphibius kiboko is the source of this 697-nucleotide long non-coding RNA. RefSeq lists it as uncharacterized. The record is from RefSeq and is a predicted model, not a curated record. The transcript has 3 exons. Lineage: Eukaryota; Metazoa; Chordata; Mammalia; Artiodactyla; Hippopotamidae.
GCACGCAACAUACCGAGGCUGGCGCUGGAGUGCCUGGCGGCGCGCGGGCGGCGCGAGCUGGGUGGGCGGCCCGGCCUGUCGCAGCGCACGCAGCCUCUCCCCGCCCCCCAGCUGCCGCCAAUGGGCAGGCGCGGGGCGGGGCCGGGGCAGGCGCGGGGCGGGGCCGGGCGCAUACCCGCGGCCUCCCCCUCGCGCCCGGCGGAGCUGCCCCGGGAUCGCUUGUUGCCCACGCGCGCGUUCGCGGAGAGAGACAUCCCAGAGCUUGGCACUGGGGACACAGGGAGGAAUGAGAGGACAUAGGAUAGGAAGGCAGAUGGAUGCCAGGUCAAAUGUGUGCACUUCAACCAGAUAAAUACCAGCAGAAGUCCAGGAAGGAGUGAAGAAACCUGGCAGGAGGAGCUGAGCUGGGCAGAGUGAGAACAUUUAAGAUCUACUCUCAGCAACUUUCAAGUAUGUAAUACAGUAUUGUUAACUAUAGUACUGUGCUGUACAUUAGAUCUCCAGAAUUUGUUCAUCUUAUAACUGGAAGUUUGUACCCUUUGACCAAUAUCUACUUGUUUCCCCCAAUUCUCAGCCUCUCAUAACCACAAUUCUACUCUUUCUAUGGGUUUUCCUUUUGUAGAUUUCACAUACAACUUUGGUCCAUCCAUGUUGUUGCAAAUGGCAGGAUUCUUUUCUCAUGCUUGAAUAAUAUUCC